RNAcentral lists this ribosomal RNA (388 nucleotides) under uncultured bacterium. RNAcentral's name for it is "bacterial SSU rRNA". It matches the Rfam family "Bacterial small subunit ribosomal RNA", at positions 28 to 417 of the family's 1533-position model. The record is from RNAcentral.
GACGAACGCUGGCGGCGUGCUUAACACAUGCAAGUCGAGCGGUAAGGCCCUUUUGGGGGUACACGAGCGGCGAACGGGUGAGUAACACGUGGGUGACCUGCCCUCAGCUCUGGGAUAAGCCUGGGAAACUGGGUCUAAUACUGGAUAUGACCUUUCCUCGCAUGGGGUUGGGUGGAAAGUUUUUUCGGCUGGGGAUGGGCCCGCGGCCUAUCAGCUUGGUUGGUGGGGUGAUGGCCUACCAAGGCGACGACGGGUAGCCGGCCUGAGAGGGCGACCGGCCACACUGGGACUGAGACACGGCCCAGACUCCUACGGGAGGCAGCAGUGGGGAAUAUUGCGCAAUGGGCGGAAGCCUGACGCAGCGACGCCGCGUGGGGGAUGACGGCCU